This 372-nucleotide ribosomal RNA is filed under the name uncultured organism. RNAcentral describes it as "bacterial SSU rRNA". It matches the Rfam family "Bacterial small subunit ribosomal RNA", at positions 526 to 896 of the family's 1533-position model. The record is from RNAcentral.
CAGAGGGUGCGAACGUUGCUCGGAAUUACUGGGCGUAAAGCGCGUGUAGGCGGGUCGGCAAGUCAGGCGUGAAAUCCCCAGGCUCAACCUGGGAACUGCGCUUGAAACUGCCGGUCUUGAGUAUCGGAGAGGGUGGCGGAAUUCCUGGUGUAGAGGUGAAAUUCGUAGAUAUCAGGAGGAACACCGGUGGCGAAGGCGGCCACCUGGACAAUUACUGACGCUGAGACGCGAAAGCGUGGGGAGCAAACAGGAUUAGAUACCCUGGUAGUCCACGCCGUAAACGAUGGGGGCUAGGUGUCUCGGGUAUUGACCCCUGAGGUGCCGUAGCUAACGCGUUAAGCACCCCGCCUGGGAAGUACGGCCGCAAGGCUA